UGGGGAAUUUUGGACAAUGGGGGCAACCCUGAUCCAGCAAUGCCGCGUGUGUGAAGAAGGCCUUCGGGUUGUAAAGCACUUUUGUCCGGAAAGAAAACGCCGUGGUUAAUACCCGUGGCGGAUGACGGUACCGGAAGAAUAAGCACCGGCUAACUACGUGCCAGCAGCCGCGGUAAUACGUAGGGUGCAAGCGUUAAUCGGAAUUACUGGGCGUAAAGCGUGCGCAGGCGGUCCGCUAAGACAGAUGUGAAAUCCCCGGGCUUAACCUGGGAACUGCAUUUGUGACUGGCGGGCUAGAGUAUGGCAGAGGGGGGUAGAAUUCCACGUGUAGCAGUGAAAUGCGUAGAGAUGUGGAGGAAUACCGAUGGCGAAGGCAGCCCCCUGGGCCAAUACUGACGCUCAUGCACGAAAGCGUGGGGGAGCAAAACAGGAUUCAGAUACCCUGGUAGUCCACGCCCUAAACGAUGUCAACUAGUUGUGGGGAUUCAUUUCCUUAGUAACGUAGCUAACGCGUGAAGUUGACCGCCUGGGGAGUACGGUCGCAAGCAUUAAAACUCAAAGGAAUUGACGGGGGUCAUAGCUGUUUCCUG
RNAcentral lists this ribosomal RNA (590 nucleotides) under uncultured bacterium. Its description in RNAcentral is "partial 16S ribosomal RNA". It matches the Rfam family "Bacterial small subunit ribosomal RNA", at positions 355 to 941 of the family's 1533-position model. The record is from RNAcentral.